This 268-nucleotide ribosomal RNA is filed under the name uncultured Cryptanaerobacter sp. RNAcentral's name for it is "partial 16S ribosomal RNA". It matches the Rfam family "Bacterial small subunit ribosomal RNA", at positions 1117 to 1382 of the family's 1533-position model. Lineage: Bacteria; Bacillati; Bacillota; Clostridia; Eubacteriales; Desulfotomaculaceae. The record is from RNAcentral.
GCUAACGUGUAACGAUGAGCACUCUAGGCGGGACUGCCGUUGGACAAAACGGAGGAAGUGGGGAUGACGUCAAAUCAUCAUGCCCCUUAUGUUCUGGGCUACACACGUGCUACAAUGGCCGGUACAAAGGGACGCAAAGCCGCGAGGUGGAGCAAAUCCGAUAAAAGCCGGUCUCAGUUCGGAUUGCAGGCUGCAACUCGACUGCGUGAAGUCGGAAUCGCUAGUAAUCGUGGAUCAGCAUGUCACGGUGAAUACGUUCCCGGGUCUU